GAUGAACGCUGGCGGCGUGCCUAAUACAUGCAAGUCGAACGAAACUUCUUUAUCACCGAGUGCUUGCACUCACCGAUAAAGAGUUGAGUGGCGAACGGGUGAGUAACACGUGGGCAACCUGCCCAAAAGAGGGGGAUAACACUUGGAAACAGGUGCUAAUACCGCAUAACCAUAGUUACCGCAUGGUAACUAUGUAAAAGGUGGCUAUACUACCGCUUUUGGAUGGGCCCGCGGCGCAUUAGCUAGUUGGUAGGGUAAAGGCUUACCAAGGCAAUGAUGCGUAGCCGAAUUGAGAGGUUGAUCGGCCACAUUGGGACUGAGACACGGCCCAAACUCCUACGGGAGGCAGCAGUAGGGAAUCUUCCACAAUGGGCGAAAGCCUGAUGGAGCAACGCCGCGUGGGUGAAGAAGGUCUUCGGAUCGUAAAACCCUGUUGUUAGAGAAGAAAGUGCGUGAGAGUAACUGUUCACGUUUCGACGGUAUCUAGCCAGAAAGCCACGGCUAACUACGUG
RNAcentral lists this ribosomal RNA (512 nucleotides) under uncultured bacterium. RNAcentral's name for it is "partial 16S ribosomal RNA". It matches the Rfam family "Bacterial small subunit ribosomal RNA", at positions 28 to 507 of the family's 1533-position model. The record is from RNAcentral.